CUCUAAUUAUCCUGGCAGCACACACAGCCCCUGCUUCUGCUGAUGGCUGCAGGGAACCACUGGGAAGGCAGCAGGAGAUUAGGGAGAGGCUGUGGGCAGAAGGAGUGGGAUGCAGGACCCAGCCCAGGAGGUCAAGCCUAAAAUCAAGGGAAAAGGGACUGGAGUCAUGCUGGGAACAGGAGGGAUGCCCUGGCUGUGCUACAACCUGCCUGGAGGUCCUGAUUGCUCACUAAAGGGUGGAACAACAUGGACCUCCAAAACACCCAGGGGCACAUGUAUUGUGGAGCACUGGGAGAAACAGCCAGGAUCCUCCCUUGGGCAAUUGUCUUCUGACAGUGAGUAUCACCAAGCCUGGAAAGACCAAGCUCCAACCUUUUUGGUGAGGUGAGGACACCUCAAAUGACCCAUCUGCCACUUGAACAUCACCAGCCCCACAGUGGCCAAUAUCAAACAUCAUUUCUACAUUUCAAUGUAAUGGAAGGGCUGAUGCAC
Molecule: long non-coding RNA, 492 nt
Filed under: Cyanistes caeruleus (blue tit)
Lineage: Eukaryota; Metazoa; Chordata; Aves; Passeriformes; Paridae
Description: lncRNA (ENSCCEG00000002589.1)
Source: RNAcentral